AGUGACGCCCCCGAGCCCAGCUGCAGAAGAAACCGCCACCUCCAAUGCACAAGGUGUCACAUUUGAAAAGAAACCUGAGCCCCAGGGAGGCGGCGCAGAGCGACCCGGGCCCGGUAAGCGCUAACUGCGCGGCAGGGAGCUGGGCAGCGCUGGAGAACCGGGAGAGCUCCACCGCUGAACAUCCUAGCGACCUGAUUCUGGGAUCUCGGCUCCACGCUCCCUUCGCAAUUUUCAGAUUUCUCCCCCUUGAUUAUCAUCCCAAAACGGAGCCUUUAUACCAGGAGAAGGUGCCUGAGCUGGGACAACCAGGACUUUCCCGGGCACCCAAGAUGCGCUCAAUUAGAAAACGGUGGACCAUCUGCACUAUAAGUCUACUCCUGAUCUUUUAUAAGACAAAAGAAAUAGCCAGAACUGAGGAGCACCAAGAGACGCAACUCAUCGGAGAUGGUGAACUGUGUUUGAGCAGAUCACUUGUCAACAGCUCUGAUAAAAUCAUCCGGAAGGCUGGCUCCACCAUCUUCCAACAUUCUGUACAAGGCUGGAAAAUCAAUUCUUCUUUAGUCCUGGAGAUAAGGAAGAACAUUCUUCGUUUCUUAGAUGCGGAACGUGACGUAUCUGUGGUCAAGAGCAGUUUUAAGCCUGGUGAUGUCAUACACUAUGUGCUGGACAGACGCCGGACACUAAAUAUUUCUCACAAUCUGCAUAGCCUCCUGCCUGAAGUUUCACCAAUGAAAAACCGCAGGUUUAAGACCUGUGCAGUUGUUGGAAAUUCCGGCAUUCUGCUAGACAGUGGAUGUGGAAAGGAGAUUGACAGCCACAACUUUGUAAUAAGGUGCAAUCUAGCUCCUGUGGUGGAGUUCGCUGCUGAUGUGGGGACUAAAUCAGAUUUUAUUACCAUGAAUCCAUCAGUUGUGCAAAGAGCAUUUGGAGGCUUUCGGAAUGAGAGUGACAGAGAAAAAUUUGUGCAUAGACUCUCCAUGCUGAAUGACAGCGUCCUUUGGAUUCCUGCCUUCAUGGUCAAAGGAGGAGAGAAGCACGUGGAGUGGGUUAAUGCAUUAAUCCUUAAGAACAAACUGCAAGUGCGAACUGCCUAUCCAUCACUUAGACUUAUUCAUGCAGUCAGAGGGUAAGUGGCUGGAAAGGACCAGUCUGUCCUUGACACAAUAGAACGUGUAACUAAAGAAUGUCUCUGAGGCAUGGAGCAUCGCUAAAUCUUCCGAAAUAAACAACGAUUUCAUUAUAAUGAGUUCUAUAUCUUCAAAUAUGCAUUUUAUGUACUUAGUCUUUCUGCUCAACCACAUUGAAAAAACAGAUUGCUGAAUUUGACAUUCGUGCCUGCUCAUGAACAGACUACUGAUUUUGGUUUAUUUUUCCUUCAAUAAAAGAUACUGGCUGACUAACAAAGUUCCUAUCAAAAGACCUAGCACAGGUCUCCUCAUGUAUACACUUGCCACCAGAUUCUGUGAUGAAAUUCACCUUUAUGGAUUCUGGCCAUUUCCCAAGGAUCUGAAUGGAAAAGCUGUCAAAUAUCAUUACUAUGAUGACUUAAAAUAUAGAUACUUUUCCAACGCCAGUCCUCACAGGAUGCCAUUAGAAUUUAAAACAUUGAAUGUGCUACACAAUAGAGGAGCUCUAAAACUGACCACAGGAAAGUGCAUGAAGCAAUAAGGCACACUUUGGAGGAUAAAAACUGAACACAGACUUUGUUUUUUUAAGAUGCUUCUGGAGAUUUAGAAUCAGGAUCCAAAAUAAGGCUGGGAUUCAGCAUCCACCACUUGACUGAGUAGCUGAAAUGGAAGUCUGUGUGAAUUCACCACCAGCUGAUGAAAAACCUGCAAAGUGCUCUGACUACAACAUAUUCUGACUUCAAGGGUCCUAGUAAGUGCCACUUCCAUGAAGAAUACAGUUUGAAUGUAUUAUCAGUAGUGUUUACAAGAUUCAACAGUGCACUCAACAUCAGUUAGCAAAGCAAACAUGUUCAUCACUGUGGGGCAGCCACUGUAAUGCCAAGCACACUGGAAGAGGAACCCAGGAGCACAGCUCAGCCCUUGGGACUUGAAAACAUCCUUAGUAGAAAUGAAGAAGGAGAGAGUUCAAGCAGUGAAAUCCAUGACAUGAAGCAACUUGAGGAAACGCUUUCAGUCAGGACACUGAGAAUGGUCAUGUUUACGUUUUGCUUAUAUUUCUUGUUUGUCUUCUGACAUUUAUUUUGGUUUGGGUUUGGGUGCUUAGAAAUUCAUUUGAGAUACAGAAAUGGGAAACACAUGUGAAUGAGAAAAACGAACAUCAAACAGUCCUUUCUAAAGUCCUUAUAUAUUUUUAAACAACAGUCACACCAAACUUAUGCUUGUUCGUUUGUUUGUUUGUUUUACUUUGCACAACUCUAAAUCUCUGGAUUAUAGAUCAAUGGUGUAGUGGGUACCAGCCAAACUAUACCACUCGAUAUUAGUAGACUAUUAUGAAGGAGUGAUAUUUGAAAAAUGGUAAAAAUAGCAGAAAAGUUUCACUCUUGGUACCAAAGAUUAUAUCAUGUUCCUACACAGUAAGCCACUCUCCUGUUAUAAAGAGAAUAUAUUAUUAACAUGAACACAUUUAUAUGAAGUUAAUAGGAAACUCAGCUCUACACAGUUAAAAAUUUCAAGUUCAAACAUUACUUUUAAUUUACUUCUUUGACAUUUCAUCAUAAUUUUGUGGAAAUCCAUGGCCAGGUAGAUUGUUGGAUUGAAGUAGCUGAAAUGAGACUUCUCAUUCAGUAAAAUCUUCUUGGCUAUUCAGGUGCAGAGAUCAAUAUGAAGCACUUACUAUUAUUUUAAAAUUUCUCUCCACAAAAUAAGAUGAUUAACUGAGUGUUGUUUUCAUAACAGGUAAUUAAUUCAAAGCAGUUUAACAAUAACACAUCAACAAUACGUCAAAUGAAUUCAGUUAACAAGGAUUUUUCUGUAGUUAAGUACAGUUCCAUUAUGACUGCAUUUUUUAAAACAACAUGAACUUACUCAUAGAGUGACUUACUGACUUACAUACGUGACUGAAUUGACUGGUGGCCAGGCUUUCUGUUUCUUUUGAAAGCAGAACUAUAUUCUUACUUCUGCUUUUGCCUGCAGCAAUUUAACAUGACUUCCUGUUUCUUGGGGAAGGCAAUCAGAAGAAAGCAGAAAUGGCAUGAAAAAUGUGUAUGUUUUGUUUUUCUAAGUCAGGCAAUCUAAAAUGAAUGAAGAGCACAGCAAAGGUAUACAUAUAUAUUAUAUAUGUAUUCAUAUUCUGGACAAGGAUAGUCAUGUAGUACAGUUACCAAAUUUUUAAUAUUAGCUGCAGUGUUUUUUAAAACAGUGAUAGAAUCUCAGGAUAAAAAUAACAGUUUCUGAGAAUCCAUGUAUCUAUCAGAAAGGAAAAGAGAAUGGAUAUGGGCAUUUCAUAACCAGUAUAUACCUUUAUCAUUAAAUUUCAUUUUUAUUUCGCAAUUCAAUACAUUUAAUAAAAAGUGUUAAAUAUGUGUUAUGUAGAUGUUAAAUUGAAAGUCUAAUACACUGGAUGUGUGAUCAUUGGAUAAUAUAUAAAACUUAUUUUGAACUCUAUGCAGAUCUGUGUUCCCACCAACAGCUAACAUGAAUUCCUUAGAAAUCCAGAGGUUGCAAGUAAAUUCUGGCAAGUAAAUUCUAUCUUGGCACUCAUUCAAAGUAUGUAUCUGAAAGCAGCAGCAUACCAUCUUGACUGAAAUUUUAAGAAGGGAAAAAAAGAUGUGUUUAAACAACAUUUUGGCCACAGCAAGCACAGCUUAGCCAUUCACUUUUGCAUGCAUUGAUGUCUAUCUCUUACAUGCAUUGAGUAGUGCCUUUUAAUGUCUUUGCAUUGAUUCUUCACCCUCUGCUUUGUGUUUCCUAAAUGCUUGCCCAGUUAGAGAAAUGUUCAGUAUCAAAAGGGCUUCAGAUUUGAGAGAUAACUACUUUUGUUCAUCUCAGGGAACUUUCAGUACAUAAGAAUGGAUUCAAUUAAAGACAUUUAGCACUCAAAGAGGAAAUAUUGUGUGAGAUUAUUUCAUCCUCACACACACACCCUUUCAUUUGCCAUCACUGCUCAAUCCCUAUCACGGCUUUCUUACAGGAGGAAGGCAAGGAGAGAAUUGAAGACUAACAGUAGAGAAAAGAGUUAGGACUUAACACACAUGAUGGCAUAAGGAAUCAUAACAAAAUCAAAUUAUAAGCAUAUACUUGAACUAUCUGUGAUUUCCUUAAUAUGGUAUGCUAACAGCUUUAUUUGUUUUAUUUCCUUUUUCUAAUGUUUUAAUCAUGCACUUGGGAAUACCCAGGUAGCUGACUGUGAAAUAUCCCAGUCACUGAGCUAACAUGAUUGCUACUGUGCUUUUGACAUGAACAGACCAUGGAAAUAUUUUCAUCAUUGCUACUCAGCAUAAACUAUACUUAAUAAAAAGUUGUUGAAAGAAAACAUGAAUCAAUAAUAGAUUUUCAGAGCAAAUCUAGUGAUUCAGCCCACAGGACCAAUGAAAGUACUGUGGAAGCUUUCCUCACUUAGAGAAGGUGCUGGGCAUUCAAAUGUCUUCAUGUGUUGUAUUUCAUAUGAGCUGUAUAUCAAUUGUUAAUGAAAAUCUCCACAUAUAUCCUUACAGAAAUGCUUUAUUCAAGAAAUGCUAAGGGUAGUGUACAGACAAGUGAUUUACUCAGUUACUAUUCAAGAAAGGGUAAGCAAAGUAAUUUAUUUAUAGUUGUGCCAGUUAGUCAUAAUACAUAUUAUGUGAUAUUUGGUUCACAGAGUUGUUUUCAUGUGAUUAUUAUGAGGACUAUCUAUAGUUGUGGAAGGGGGAUGGAAAAGUUGUGUAUAGUUAGCUGGUAUCUCUACAAGUUUGAGAGUUUCCCCAUUAAAUGUUAUCAAUAUACCAAGGUUUUAAUAAAAACAAGUAAGGUUAAUUAUUUGUAUUUGAUAAACAAACUCCAAAUACAACCCAUCUAGAAAUAGAUAUUUUAUUAUAUAUGUGCUAUAAAUAUAUCUAUAUAGUACAAAUAGAAAUGUGUGAUGCAUAUAUACCAUGUUAUAUAUGUAUAUCUGUGUGUACACACUGAUUCUGUAAUAUGUGCACAACUAGAUGUGUGUUAUAUUGAUAUCUUCAGGGUCUGCACUGUGAACUGCCCUGGAGAUCAUGGCCACUUUAAAAACAGAAGUUCUUUUGAAACUUCAUUUACUACUCUGCUUUAAGAAAGACCUACUUUGUAGCUGAAUUAUAUGUUCUUUCCUAGAGUAAUAGUAAGCAGCUAGUAUGUUCAAAUCUUUCAAAACAAAAGUCAAGGAAAAAAUAUCUUCAAGCUGGCAAUGUAUUUAUUUAAAUUGCGGUUUUUUGAUUGUUGGUCUAGGUUGUGUGUUUCUCUUUUAUGUAGCGCCUUUUAAGAAAUACUGGGGUUUUUUUGUGUGUGUGUGUCGGUGAAAGCACAAGUGUUUUUGAUGUAUAUAGCAAGAAGAGAAAAAAGUUUCCAGAUAGCUUUGCUGCAUAGGAUAAUUGCUACUGAGCCUUUCUUAUACCAUCUGUGGAAAGGAAGGAUGAAGCUUACUCUGUAGGUUCAUUCUGAUCAACAAUAUCUUCUGUUGUUUGUGCAUAGCAAUGGACUAUUACUGCUUUAUCAUUUGUACAAUUGUAAAAUAAAUUAAAUUACUUGUUUUUCAA
This is an RNA transcript of Mus musculus (house mouse), 5668 nucleotides long. It is a transcript of the gene named ST8 alpha-N-acetyl-neuraminide alpha-2,8-sialyltransferase 4, with no coding region annotated. The record is from RefSeq and is marked validated. NCBI's taxonomy places the organism in Eukaryota, Metazoa, Chordata, Mammalia, Rodentia, Muridae. The transcript has 5 exons.